This 1395-nucleotide long non-coding RNA is filed under the name Salmo salar (Atlantic salmon). RNAcentral describes it as "lncRNA (ENSSSAG00000092013.1)". The record is from RNAcentral. Lineage: Eukaryota; Metazoa; Chordata; Actinopteri; Salmoniformes; Salmonidae.
UUUAUUUUGGCUUUGUCUGAAAGUCUGUCGAUAAAUUUAGGUUUUCCUAAAAUUAUUGUAAUGAAUUAGACUAGUACAAAAAUGUUUUUUUUUUUUUAAGACUGACUGCUGGUGUAUACACUGAGUGUUCAAAACAUUAAGGACACAUGCUUUUUCCAUUACAUAGCUUUCACCUGGUCAGUCUAUGAUCUCUUAUUGAUGUCACUUAUUAAAUCCACUUCAAUCAGUGUAAAGGAAGGGGAGGAGACAAGUUAAAUAAGUAUUUUUAAGGCUUAAGACAACUGAGACAUGGAUUGUGUACUGUAUGUGUGCCAUUCAGAUGGUGAAUGGGCAAGAGAAAAGAUUGAAGUGCCUUUGAACAGGGUAUGGUAGUAGGUGCCAGGCGCACCGGAUUUGUGUCAAGAACUGCAACACAGCUGGGUUUUUCACACUCAAUAGGUUCCCUUGUGUCAAGCAUGGUCUACCACCCUAAGGACAUCCAGCCAACUUGACACAACUGUGGGAAGUAUUGCCGUCAACACGGUCCAGCAUGCCUGUGGAACGCUUUCGACACCUUGUACAGUCCAUCAUGCCCCCAACGAAUUGAGACUGUUCCGAGGGCACUCAGGGUUCAUGCAAAACCUCUCUGCACCAAAGAUGGCUGAUGGUGACAACGUGGAUUUUGAUGACAUCCACAGGAAGCGUCAGGAGACCUGUCUGAGCUCCAGUCUCUGAGUCUCACUUCAUCCCGGAGGAAGAAGGAGUAAGAGGAGCUCAUCUCCCUCGUAAACAGGAUUGUGUAGGAGAAACGCUUUGCGGAGAGGGCAGAGCAGCGGCGGGUUCGUGCGGAGAGGGAGAAGGAAUGGCAGCUCAGGGUUGCUUGCUCUGCAGGAGGAGAAAGAGAGGAAGGAGGCAGAGCAAUGUAGGAAGAACGAUGAUGACGCUAAAAAAAAGGCUCUCACUAACAUGACCCACCAGUAUGGAGGCAUUCAGCAGAAGUCAAAUGAAAACCGUAAAGGAGCCAAAAAUCAGAGGGAGAAGAUUCUUGCUGACCGCAGGAAAUCUCUCAGCAUCGACAAUCUGAAUGAGGACACACUCAAGGCAACAGCCAAUGAGAUGUGACAGUGGAUGAUGGAGCUGGAGGCUGAGAAGUUUGACCUCAGUGAGAAACUCAAGUACGAUAUCAUGAAAAAUAAGACGGGGGGCACCAGACCAAGCAUCUCUAAGUAGAAAUUUGGACUGUCAAUUUUUACACAAUGUGAGAGGUCCCAGGCAGUGGGUACAUCAGAGGUGACCUACAGUACUACUGAACAGAUUAACCAGCUUCUCACUCGGGUCCAGGAUCACCAAAGCAUCAAAGGUCGCGGCAAGAAGAUGGGCCGGGUGAGGUAAAGGAGCAAUCGCUACAGUCGGGCG